UAGAAUGUGGUGUAAAAAUGGAAGCACGGAGAAGUUUGAUUUCUCAGGAGUAGGUUCGACUCCUAUAUUUCUAG
RNAcentral lists this transfer RNA (74 nucleotides) under Tamandua tetradactyla (southern tamandua). RNAcentral's name for it is "transfer RNA-Gln". It matches the Rfam family "tRNA". From Rfam's summary of the family: Transfer RNA (tRNA) molecules are approximately 80 nucleotides in length. Their secondary structure includes four short double-helical elements and three loops (D, anti-codon, and T loops). Further hydrogen bonds mediate the characteristic L-shaped molecular structure. tRNAs have two regions of fundamental functional importance: the anti-codon, which is responsible for specific mRNA codon recognition, and the 3' end, to which the tRNAs corresponding amino acid is attached (by aminoacyl-tRNA synthetases). tRNAs cope with the degeneracy of the genetic code in two manners: having more than one tRNA (with a specific anti-codon) for a particular amino acid; and 'wobble' base-pairing, i.e. permitting non-standard base-pairing at the 3rd anti-codon position. Lineage: Eukaryota; Metazoa; Chordata; Mammalia; Pilosa; Myrmecophagidae. The record is from RNAcentral.